RNAcentral lists this ribosomal RNA (998 nucleotides) under Rimora mangrovei. RNAcentral's name for it is "SSU rRNA". It matches the Rfam family "Eukaryotic small subunit ribosomal RNA", at positions 63 to 1061 of the family's 1831-position model. The record is from RNAcentral. Lineage: Eukaryota; Fungi; Ascomycota; Dothideomycetes; Pleosporales; Aigialaceae.
GUCUAAGCUAAUUAUACCGUGCGACUAGCGAAUGGCUCAUUAAAUCAGUUAUCGUUCAUUUGAUAGUACCUUACUACUUGGAUAACCGUGGUAAUUCUAGAGAUAAGACAUGCUAAAACACCCCGACUUCGGGAGGGGUGUAUUUAUUAGAUAAAAAACCAAUGCCCUUCGGGGCUCUUUGGUGAUUCAUGAUAACUUAACGGAUCGCAUGGCCUUGCGCCGGCGACGGUUCAUUCAAAUUUCUGCCCUAUCAACUUUCGAUGGUAAGGUAUUGGCUUACCAUGGUUUCAACGGGUAACGGGGGAUUAGGGUUCGACUCCGGAGAGGGAGCCUGAGAAACGGCUACCACAUCCAAGGAAAGGCAGCAGGCGCGCAAAUUACCCAAUCCCGACACGGGGAGGGUAGUGACAAUAAAUACUGAUACAGGGCCUCUUUUGGGUCUUGUAAUUGGAAAUGAGUACAAUUUAAAUCCCUUAACGAGGAACAAUUGGAGGGCAAGUCUGGUGCCAGCAGCCGCGGUAAUUCCAGCUUCCAAUAGCGUAUAUUAAAGUUGUUGCAGUUAAAAAGCUCGUAGUUGAACCUUGGGGCCUGGCUGGCCGGUCCGCCUCACCGCGUGCACUGGUUCGGCCGGGCCUUUCCUUCUGGAGAGCCCCAUGCCCUUCACUGGGUGUGCGGGGGAACCAGGACUUUUACUUUGAAAAAAUUAGAGUGUUCAAAGCAGGCCUUUGCUCGAAUACAUUAGCAUGGAAUAAUAGAAUAGGACGUGCGGUCCUCUUUUUUUGGUUUCUAGGACCGCCGUAAUGAUUAAUAGGGAUAGUCGGGGGCAUCCGUAUUCAAUUGUCAGAGGUGAAAUUCUUGGAUUUAUUGAAGACGAACUACUGCGAAAGCAUUUGCCAAGGAUGUUUUCAUUAAUCAGUGAACGAAAGUUAGGGGAUCGAAGACGAUCAGAUACCGUCGUAGUCUUACCCCUAAACUACACCGACUAGGGAUCUGGCGAU